This 215-nucleotide ribosomal RNA is filed under the name Mucoromycotina sp. RNAcentral's name for it is "partial 18S ribosomal RNA". The stretch from base 90 to 215 matches the Rfam family "Eukaryotic small subunit ribosomal RNA", at positions 736 to 864 of the family's 1831-position model. The record is from RNAcentral. Lineage: Eukaryota; Fungi; Mucoromycota.
GCCUUGGCCGAGCGGUCCACUAUUUAGUCGGUACUGCUCCGGUCUCGGCUCACCUUCUGGCGAGCCAUCAUGUCCUUCACUGGAUGUGGUGGGGAACCAGGACUUUUACUUUGAAAAAAUUAGAGUGUUUAAAGCAGGCAUUUGCUUGAAUAGAUUAGCAUGGAAUAAUGGAAUAGGACCUUGGUUCUAUUUUGUUGGUUUCUAGGACCUCGGUA